GACGAACGCUGGCGGCGUGCUUAACACAUGCAAGUCGAACGGAAAGGCCCCCUUGUGGGGUACUCGAGUGGCGAACGGGUGAGUAACACGUGAGUAACCUACCCUUGACUUUGGGAUAACUUCGGAAAACGGGGGCUAAUACCGAAUAGGACCUCCUGUGCAUGGUGGGGGUUGGUAAGUUUCGGCGGUUGGGGAUGGACUCGCGGCUUAUCAGCUUGUUGGUGGGGUAGUGGCUCACCAAGGCUUUGACGGGUAGCCGGCCUGAGAGGGUGACCGGCCACAUUGGGACUGAGAUACGGCCCAGACUCCUACGGGAGGCAGCAGUGGGGAAUAUUGCACAAUGGGCGGAAGCCUGAUGCAGCAACGCCGCGUGCGGGAUGACGGCCUUCGGGUUGUAAACCGCUUUCGCCUGUGACGAAGCGUGAGUGACGGUAAUGGGUAAAGAAGCACCGGCUAACUACGUG
This 464-nucleotide ribosomal RNA is filed under the name uncultured bacterium. RNAcentral's name for it is "partial 16S ribosomal RNA". It matches the Rfam family "Bacterial small subunit ribosomal RNA", at positions 28 to 507 of the family's 1533-position model. The record is from RNAcentral.